This 440-nucleotide ribosomal RNA is filed under the name uncultured bacterium. Its description in RNAcentral is "partial 16S ribosomal RNA". It matches the Rfam family "Bacterial small subunit ribosomal RNA", at positions 338 to 795 of the family's 1533-position model. The record is from RNAcentral.
CCUACGGGAGGCAGUAGUGGGGGAUAUUGCACAAUGGGGGGAACCCUGAUGCAGCGACGCCGCGUGGGUGAAGAAGCGCCUCGGCGCGUAAAGCCCUGUCAGCAGGGAAGAAAAUGACGGUACCUGAAGAAGAAGCCCCGGCUAACUACGUGCCAGCAGCCGCGGUAAUACGUAGGGGGCAAGCGUUAUCCGGAUUUACUGGGUGUAAAGGGGGCGCAGACGGCGAUGCAAGCCAGGAGUGAAAGCCCGGGGGCCAACCCCGGGACUGCUCUUGGAACUGCGUGGCUGGAGUGCAGGAGGGGCAGGCGGAAUUCCUGGUGUAGCGGUGAAAUGCGUAGAUAUCAGGAGGAACACCGGUGGCGAAGGCGGCCUGCUGGACUGCAACUGACGUUGAGGCACGAAAGCGUGGGGAGCAAACAGGAUUAGAUACCCGAGUAGUC